AUAAAAUGGCUCCAUGUGUAUUUUUAGCAAAUAACAGAGUAUUAGGUUUUCUUCAAUUCAGAUUUUGAGUGAUAUCUUCUUCCUGAUUCUCUUCACGCGCAAAUCUAGCUAGAGGUAUGCUUUCAAUCAAUUUUGUACAUAUCUUUUUUCUACUUUUUCCUUUGUAUUUUGGGUUUCUUCUAGGUUCUCUUCAUCAUUGUUAGUUUCGAUUCUGAAGUUCAGUGAUUGUUGUAGGUUCUUUUCCCAUGUUUUGCUAUGAUUUUUCUCAGAUCCUUUUUUCUUCUUUUAAUUUCUGCUCUAUCUUCUUUUAGGUUUUCUAAUUUUUAACUUUGCAAUCUUAUGGCAAGUGUGUGUUAAAUCGAGUGGUAAAACUGUAUUUUUAAACUCUAAGCAUGCUGACUAUUGGACUUUGUCUUCAACGUCUUUAUCUAGCAUUCCUCACAAAUUCUCUCAGUUAGAUCAAACUCAACGACCUGCCUCUACAGUUUCUUUUUUCAUAUUCUAAUAUUGUCUCAACUUCUCCUCCGUUUUUCGUUAAUUGCAGUCUUCUCUGUUGCACUGCUCAAUUUACGUACAAUUAUACGGUCAGUUCUGUUUUGUCUGGCUUUUUCCUUUAACUAUCCAAACUAUUUUUGGGGGUGAGGUUGGAACAACGAUUGGUUGUUUUGGAAAAGGAUCUGUAUUUAUUUAUGUGCAUAUCUUUUUUAAAUGAGGAAUACAAACAUAUUUUCUAUAUGAAAUUUUGGAAUGUCUUUACUGGUUUGGUACCAUGCCUGGUUGGGGUAAUUAAGAAGCUUUUAGACCCGGUUGACUUUGGCUGACCAAAAUGACUUUUUUCUUCGUUUAUCCAACCUUUUCUGAAUAUCAGUGUUAUCUAGAUUUAAGAUUGUGUUGGUUUCUACUGUGAAGAAUGUCUCCUUAUGAUGUUUUGAAUCUUCCAUGGAAGAUUAGCUUGCUUUCAAUUGGUGAUAUGUUACGCCUCUAUUUUUCGUGCUUCGUUUCGCUUCGCGCUUCUCGUGAUUUAAUCUUAAUUUUCAUAUGUUUCAACUCUUUUAAAGUGCAAUAAGAAUGAAUUUAAGUUUAUGAUUUAGACACUACAUCCAGACUUGCAUUAGAGGUAUUUGAGAAAUUGCCGAUGAGAAAGAAGGGGUAAAGUAUUUGAGAAUGGCGAGGAGAGUUGAGAAAUUUCACUGUUUUGAAAUUGCCACCGCCCGAGCCUAAGAAACCUAAGACCAUUAAUGUCAAGCUUGCUUAAAAUAGGGGAAAUAUAGACAAAUUAAGUUUGGUUCUAUGGGUAUUAAUUUGGACCUCGGAGAGGUUAGAAAUACUGUUUUAUAGUAGUGCUUAUGAUGUUUUUUGGACUGUUUUGUGCUGUGUGUAAGACCUUUUGGUCUAUGAACUGUGAACAUUAUGAAUAAAUUUCCUUGAAUUUACUGGAGUUUUUGCAUCUACAGGAAAAAAAUUAAAGCCACUAACAUGUAAAAGGAACAAUUCUGUAGUAUAUCUCCUAAAGAUUUUAAAUGUUCUUGUUGUAUAAAUCUAAGGAAAUGGAGAUUGAAACUGAUAAGAAAUAGAUUAAUGUUGUUGAAUGGCAUAACAUAUGCAAGAUUCACAGACUAUUGAAAAGAAACAACAGCAGACUCAUUCACAACUUUGCUCAAAUAAUGAUGAAGUUGGUUAAAAGGAGACAAAAAGGAAUAUAAAUAGUGUCUACUUCUUUCUCACUUGCUUCCAUAUUUACAUUCUCAUCUUAAACUAUUGGGCUAGGUUAUAAAUAUUUGUGUUGCAGAUCACUUUGUGUAAAGACAAACGAAUAUUAUGUUCGGAUCCUACAACUUCUUCAAUUAUAGUAUUCAAUUCAACAUGGUUCAUUUUAAUCUCUAUUUUUGUUCCUUUUUAACACUGAAAUAAUUGAGCAGCUUAAUGAAAAAACCUAAAGCCUAGAAAAUGAUAUAUGAUAAGUUAUUAUACCUUUUAAUUUUUUGGCAUGUAUUAAUUGCUCAUAUAUGUUAUUUUUGGUCUUUGUUUCUGCCUCAAUAGUGAAGGAAAAAGAAUCAUUUGUGAUGCUACUUUUUAAAAGCUCAAGGCUUCUCCAUAAGCUGAUAUAAAUUGUGGGUAUCUCUUGCAGUUUGUACGUCAACUGAAAGGCUGUUUUUCUGACGUUUGAGCUUGAUCGACAAGCUGUCACCACUUCAAAUUGAAGCUCUUGGUUUUGCUCUCCGAGAAUCACUAAAAACUUGACACUCAUGAAAACGAAGGUCUCUCCAUUCUGAAUUCCUUAUCUAUUGCAAUUUACGCCAUAUCUCAAGGUAAUUUGUCUUUUCAUAUUUCAUUUGUUGUCUUAGUUAUGUAACUGCUACUGAAGGUGCAGAAAUACCAAGGUGUAACUUAGCAAAAUCUGCAGAUACCAAUAUCUCCAAAAUCUAUUAGUUUACAUUGAUUCUUUAUCGUAUUUGGUGGUAGAUGCUUAAAUUUGUUUUAAAGUUCUUAUGGAACAUCAGAAGACCAUAUGUGUAUUAUUUUGUAUUUCUAUUCACAACUUUGGAGAUUAAAAACACCCCCGUUUCAAAUGUUUACAGAGUAACACCUUUCUUAUACACUUACUUGCAUGUGCUUUCUGUUGACAUGAAGGAAAUAAAAUCUCUCUCCGGUGCAUUUAUCUAAGCUCGCUUUCUUUUCUUUGUUUCUUUUUCUCUGAAGAUUCAAAAGAACAUUAGAAUUUAUGGUAUAUUAUGCUCAUUAGUAAACAAAGAUAGACAAUGUUUGAAAAGGUAUGUAAAUUACAAAUAAAAUCUGCAAAANCUAAUNNNNNNNNNNNNNNNNNNNAUAUAUAUAUAUAUAUAUAUAUAUAUACCAAGCUAAUAAAAAAAUAGUAUUUUCAACUUUUAUAAUAUUGGGCCUGUGCUGGCACAUGCCAUCACAACCUAGCAGACUAAAUAGAAAAGUGUAUUAUGGAACAUAAAUAUGACUUUCUGGACCACUUAUUUUGUUUAUUUUCUAUUUUGGUUGAUAGAAGGGUGGUUAAAACAUUAUUUGAAAAAAAUGUAACACUUUCACUUUGCCUACCAUAACACAAGGUCGGUAGUGGAGUCAACAACUCAAUGGACGGAUGAUUUGUCUUUUAAGUAUAAGAGAAGAUGUUUGAGUGAAAUAAACUUUUGUCUUUUAGGAACACAAAGCAAAAACUGUCAGAUUAUCUUUAAAUUUACUAAGAAAAAUACUUCUUUUUUUGGUAAUAAGGAAAUAUACGUAUUGAGGCACCAAACCAGUUAUUGCAAUAUAACUUUAAUCACUUACCGAAUGCGGGUAAAUUAUUAAUAUAUUUAUAUUUACAUUAAUUGAAACCCAAUUAUAUGUAUCCUGGCUAGCUACCUAAUCUGACACUACUUUAACAAAAAAUGGAUAUCUUCAAUUUGGUUACAAAUAGUCUACUGUUGAUAGUAAGUUAUGUCAAAUGACUAUUUUUAUGAAUAGUGGAUGUCCCGGUUCGCGAAUGUAAGGACCCGUUGGUUGGUCCUCGCGUUCGCGACAUGGUCCUCGCGUUCGCCUAGGGUCUGCUAGUGUAAGCUACUCGUUUGCGAGUGGACCUCGCGGUUGCGAAAGAGGAAAUUGGCCAGCAGGACUUUUGUUCAUCGCGUUCGCGAUAGUAGCCUCGCGUUUGCGAAGAAGAACGCACCUGGGCAGAUAUAAGAUUUAAAAAUCGAGGGUUUAGCCAUUUUUAUCAGAACUUAAGCUUGGGAGCUCGGAUUUGAGAGGGAUUUUGAGGGAUUUUCAGAUAUAUCGAUUGGUGGGUACGAAACAUGUGUUUGUGAUUAUCAGUUAAGAUAUGUUUUUUCUAUUUUCUUUGGUUCCAUCGCCUUUUUUCUCACUUUGCUCCGACUUAAACAUUGUCGGUGAGUUCUAGUGAUUGUGUUGUUCCUUGCUACUUCCUCUCUAUUCUUUCCAUGUUCUUCGUUCUUCUUUGCGGGUUUUCCCUUUGAGUCUGCUUUGCACACAUCUAUCUUCAUUUGUUUUUUGAUUUCAGCAAUCCAAGAUGUAAUAAUCAGGAACAACUUCAGUACUGAAGAUCUCAACUAAGGUAAAAUACUAUUUUUAAGCUCUUGUACUUAAAGGAUCAUAAACCCUAUCCAAUAAACACUUCAUCUGCUUACCUCUAUGUUUUGUGGCAAAAAGUUUUGAUUGGGGUGUUUUUGUUUCUUUCGUGUUUAGUAAAUGGUUUUGAAUUUCUCAUAUUAAUUAAGAAUAAUUGUUUAAUGCUGAAGAAAGACCAGUAAUUGUAAUAUUAUUUAAAUGUCAAGUGAAGAAGAGGUAACAUGCCAACAAGAAAUUGGUACUAUGAUUUAUACUUUUCGAUAUUCUAAGAAAUUUGAGAUUUAUGGAUGUGCAAGUGGAAAAGAAACGUUGCAGCUUCAAAAAUAAAAAUAAAGAUAAAAAUAAAAAUUAAAACUGAAAUAGUGAUGCUAUUUUUUUUUUGGCAAAAUACAUAGUUUGCCCUCGGAACUUAGGACCAAAUCCCUGUGACACACCUUCUGAGCACGGACAACUUUUUACACACCCAACCUUUUCAAAGUGUGUCUAAUACACACCUUUUUUGUCAACAUGGCUAGUGCGUGUUUUACCAAUAAAAUAAGGCGCGUGAACAGUAAAAAAAAUUAUUUUCUUUCUUUAUUUUUUUUUUCAUUUUCCUAAACUAAUUCACUAGCUAUCCUCCGCCAAAUCCAACACUCACCUUCCAUCGUCGUUUCUCCACAAUUUCUCCACCAUCCUAACCAACACCCACCUGCCAAGAACCACCAUACCUUCACCAUUGAAGCCCGUCUCUUUUCUCUCUUUUUUUUUCUUCUCAAAACCCAGUUGUUGGUAGCAGCCAUGGAAGCCCUUACCUUCUGCAUAGAAAAUAGAGCAGUUUGAGUUAAACCCAGAAGCUAAGAUCUUCAAGCCAUGCCAUUUCUGGAUUCCAUCUUUGAGUUUAAACAAAUAUUAUGCAGUUUGAUGUUCUUGAGUUAUAAUAAAGACUUGUAAUUUCUUCAUUUAAAAGUGUUUUGGUGGAUCUAAUUAUGUCAGGUUUUAUAUUAUGUGGGUUUUUUCUUUUAUUUUGUGAGUUUGAGUUGAAUUCUCAUUCUAUGUAAAAAAAAAAAAUUACUCCUAAUUAAAGUUUUUAGAAGUGUAGAGACAUACUUCAAAGAUGUGAUUUUUUUUUAUUUCUAAGUGUUUUUCUCUUUAAAAUAGACUGUAUUUGUUGAAUUCUUGUUAUUAGCUAUUGCUCAUGUUUUUAAAGUAAACAAAGGGGAGGGAUUGGAGCCUUACAGGAGUAAGUCGAUGGGAAGGGGGCUCGGAGAAGAGGGUAGACAGUGGAGGAGGAGGAAGCUGAUGACGGAGGGGAGGCUUGGGGAAGAGUUUUUUUUUUUUUUUGGGGGGGGAGGGGGGAUAAGGUGAUAUAAUAUUUAAUUUUAUUGGAAAAAGUUUAAUCAAUUAAGGUUUAUUUUAAGUAUGUAUUUAUUUAUAGUUGAGUUAUGACACGUGUCGCAUUUUGACUGGUACGUGGAUGCAGUCUCCAAACAAAAAACUGGUCCAUAAAAAAGUAGUGUCUUAUACACACUUUGAAAAAGUUAGGCGUGUAAAAAGUUAUCCGUACUCAGAAGGUGUGUCACAGGGAUUUGGUCCUAAGUUUCGGAGGAAACUAUGUAUUUUGCCAUUUUUUUCCUUUUCAUUUUGGAUUAGAGAACAUGAAUUUUGAUGGAAUAAUAUAAGAAUACGAAAAGAUUGAUAGUCACUAAUAACACAUGUAUUUACUUUUAAGCCACCGUUUAAAAUUUCUUUAGUCUUUAGUUAUUGCUUUAAUAAACUUUAAUUGUCGGACGAAAAUACUCUUCUGCUCAUGUCCUUAACUUUUGAACUUAAUUUCAGGACUUCAGCAUUACAUGUCCUUAACUUUUGAACUUGGAACUCUAAGUUCAGAACUUUUGGACUACAUGUCCUUAACUUCAGGACUACAUGUCCUUAACUUUUGAACUUGUAACUAUAAGUUCAGGACCAAGUGUCCUUAACUUUUGAGCUUGUUAGUCUAAGUUCAGGACGUAUUGUCCUUAACUUUUGGGUUUUUUAGCCUAAGUUCAUGACCUAUUGUCCUUAUCUUUUGAGCUUAUUAGUCUAAGUUCAGGACUUCAGGACCUAUUGUCCUUAACUUUUGAACUUGUAACUGUAAGUACAGGACCUAUUGUCCUUAACUUUUGGGCUUCUUAGCCUAAGUUCACGACCUAUUGUCCUUAACUUUUGAGCUUGUUAAUCUAAGUUCAGGACUUCAGGACCUAGUGUCCUUAACUUUUGAACUUGGAACUCGAAGUUCAGGACCAAGUGUCCUUAACUUUUGAACCUGUAACUAUAAGUUCGGGAUCCAUAACGUAGCAGAAAACCAAAAAUGCAUCACAGAAAUCACAAACCGAAACAUUGUGUCCAAUCCAUCACACCUUUAUGCAGAGUUCAAUUUUCAAUUAGCAGAUGAUCGUUCUUUUGGUGGAUUUUACGGUACUGCAACUGAUCAAGGCAUUGACAGUAUUGGGAUUUAUGUGAAGACCAUCACAUCCUCCACAAUAAGUAGAAUAACAUCCAACGAAACGACUGACGCGGCCAAAAGGAAAGAAAAUCAUUCAAUUCAACAUAUGUAUAUUUGAUGUUCAUGAUUUUUUCAUAUUAGAUCAUUUGUUGCUUUUGUUAAGUUCAUUACGUGAGAAUCAUGAACUGGUCUAGUUUAUUACCCAAUGAGUUGAAAGAGAUAG
This 6776-nucleotide long non-coding RNA is filed under the name Nicotiana tabacum (common tobacco). Its description in RNAcentral is "long non-coding RNA (NTAB_LNC011164)". Lineage: Eukaryota; Viridiplantae; Streptophyta; Magnoliopsida; Solanales; Solanaceae. The record is from RNAcentral.